GCGGAAGUGGCGAAAUUGGUAGACGCACCAGAUUUAGGUUCUGGCGCCGCAAGGCGUAAGAGUUC
This 65-nucleotide transfer RNA is filed under the name Vibrio cholerae. RNAcentral describes it as "tRNA-Leu". Lineage: Bacteria; Pseudomonadati; Pseudomonadota; Gammaproteobacteria; Vibrionales; Vibrionaceae. The record is from RNAcentral.